CAGCCGCCGCGGUAACACGUAGGUGGCAAGCGUUGUCCGGAAUUAUUGGGCGUAAAGGGCUCGCAGGCGGUUUCUUAAGUCUGAUGUGAAAGCCCCCGGCUCAACCGGGGAGGGUCAUUGGAAACUGGGAAACUUGAGUGCAGAAGAGGAGAGUGGAAUUCCUCGUGUAGCGGUGAAAUGCGUAGAGAUGUGGAGGAACACCAGUGGCGAAGGCGACUCUCUGGUCUGUAACUGACGCUGAGGAGCGAAAGCGUGGGGAGCGAACAGGAUUAGAUACCCGCGUAGUCCCUGUCUCUUAUAC
RNAcentral lists this ribosomal RNA (301 nucleotides) under uncultured bacterium. Its description in RNAcentral is "partial 16S ribosomal RNA". It matches the Rfam family "Bacterial small subunit ribosomal RNA", at positions 509 to 807 of the family's 1533-position model. The record is from RNAcentral.